UACGUAGGGGGCAAGCGUUGUCCGGAUUUAUUGGGCGUAAAGAGCGUGUAGGCGGCCGUACAGGUCAGCUGUGAAAACUCGAGGCUCAACCUCGAGACGUCGGUUGAAACCGUACGGCUAGAGUCCGGAAGAGGAGAGUGGAAUUCCCGGUGUAGCGGUGAAAUGCGCAGAUAUCGGGAAGAACACCCGUGGCGAAGGCGGCUCUCUGGGACGGUACUGACGCUGAUGCACGAAAGCUAGGGGAGCAAACAGG
This 253-nucleotide ribosomal RNA is filed under the name uncultured bacterium. Its description in RNAcentral is "partial 16S ribosomal RNA". It matches the Rfam family "Bacterial small subunit ribosomal RNA", at positions 524 to 776 of the family's 1533-position model. The record is from RNAcentral.